CCUACGGGAGGCAGCAGUCGAGAAUCAUUCACAAUGGGGGAAACCCUGAUGGUGCGACGCCGCGUGGGGGAAUGAAGGUCUUCGGAUUGUAAACCCCUGUUAUGUGGGAGCAAAUUAAAAAGAUAGUACCACAACAGGAAGAGACGGCUAACUCUGUGCCAGCAGCCGCGGUAAUACAGAGGUCUCAAGCGUUGUUCGGAAUCACUGGGCGUAAAGCGUGCGUAGGCUGUUUCGUAAGUCGUGUGUGAAAGGCGCGGGCUCAACCCGCGGACGGCACAUGAUACUGCGAGACUAGAGUAAUGGAGGGGGAACCGGAAUUCUCGGUGUAGCAGUGAAAUGCGUAGAUAUCGAGAGGAACACUCGUGGCGAAGGCGGGUUACUGGACAUUAACUGACGCUGAGGCACGAAGGCCAGGGGAGCGAAAGGGAUUAGAUACCCUUGUAGUC
Molecule: ribosomal RNA, 446 nt
Filed under: uncultured bacterium
Lineage: Bacteria
Description: partial 16S ribosomal RNA
Rfam family: Bacterial small subunit ribosomal RNA
Source: RNAcentral